GUUCACUAGUUAAAUUUUCUUGUGGUGUUAAUUAUUUUGUAUAGUGUUGUUUUUUAUCUAGUCCCAUGUGCCAUUUUGACCAUCUUAUUUGUUUUCCAUUUGUUCGUUUUUGUGGUGAAUAUUUCAGCACAGGCCAUUACACGCAUGAUAUAUAAAAUGUGGAAAUUUUUUUUACAAACAUUCCUGUUGGAAUGAGUUGUGGGAACAAGUCCCACAUUGG
RNAcentral lists this unclassified non-coding RNA (220 nucleotides) under Hevea brasiliensis (rubber tree). Lineage: Eukaryota; Viridiplantae; Streptophyta; Magnoliopsida; Malpighiales; Euphorbiaceae. The record is from RNAcentral.